UUUUUCCUCUUCACACACACACAACUGUCGUUCUCUUCUACUAAUCUUCAUUCCUCUCCUUUUCGCAUUUCGCAAGUUCAACCGGCCACCAAAAUGUAAAACCAACAAUUGUCAUUCGCGAGUUAUCGUUGUCUCUCUAUCGUCCGACGCUAACCAAAACGUAACCGGUCUCUUCGUCGUUCAAUCGGCCACCGAAUCGUAACCGGCCUGUUCGUCGUUGUCGCUGAAACGUAAUCGGCCACACUGUGCAUCGUUCAAUCGAAGCCCACGUCGGAACGACGACUGCUGAGUGGUCCCACCCUGUUCGUCCUUCAACCUAAACCCACUUCGAAACCACCCUAAUCGCCAUGUCUGAAAUUGGUAUGACAAUUCAAGGUGUCGUCGGCCUCACCAUUCUUCUUACCAUCCUCUUCUACAACCACGUUUUUGUCCCCGCCGCCAGAAACUUUACAGGCCACCACUCCGAUCUUCUGGUGCUGUGUAUGUUGUUGAACCAACAUUUAUGUUUGGUUUUGAAUACAACAUGGAUGACUGCCAAACCAAAUUCACCAUACCAAGAACAUAAAAGUAAGAACAUAAAAGUAACAACACACGUUAACUUGAAACCAGCAAAUAAAAUUCUCAUAUAUUCAAUUCAAACAGACCUUGGAGAAACCAAAAUCACAGAUCUUCAAGUGUGGGGCUGGAAUUUUCAUGUAUUUUGUUGGUAAAAUAUCCAUUUUCUUCUAGGUCCUCUCUCUUUUUCUCUUAGCAUUUAUAAUUUUAUCUUUCAUUUUUUACUAGAAACUGUUUCAUGAAAUGCUUGUUUAGCAUUAUAAUGUGAUCCACCGCCAUUUUUUUACA
Molecule: long non-coding RNA, 843 nt
Organism: Cucumis melo (muskmelon)
Lineage: Eukaryota; Viridiplantae; Streptophyta; Magnoliopsida; Cucurbitales; Cucurbitaceae
Exons: 3
Source: RefSeq, a predicted model, not a curated record